AUAAGAGGCGAGGGUUCACCCGUUCCCAUUCCGAACACGGAAGUUAAGCUCGCCAUCUCCCACGAUACUCGGAUGGAGACGUCCCGGGAAAAUAGGUCGAUGCC
Molecule: ribosomal RNA, 104 nt
Filed under: Clostridia bacterium
Lineage: Bacteria; Bacillati; Bacillota; Clostridia
Source: RNAcentral